This 253-nucleotide ribosomal RNA is filed under the name uncultured bacterium. RNAcentral's name for it is "partial 16S ribosomal RNA". It matches the Rfam family "Bacterial small subunit ribosomal RNA", at positions 524 to 776 of the family's 1533-position model. The record is from RNAcentral.
UACGUAGGGGGCAAGCGUUGUCCGGAAUCAUUGGGCGUAAAGAGCGUGUAGGCGGCUCGAUAAGUCUGCUGUGAAAGUCCAGGGCUCAACCCUGGAAGGCCGGUGGAUACUGUCGGGCUCGAGUUCGGAAGAGGUGAGUGGAAUUCCUGGUGUAGCGGUGAAAUGCGCAGAUAUCAGGAGGAACACCAAUGGCGAAGGCAGCUCACUGGGACGAUACUGACGCUAAGGCGCGAAAGCGUGGGGAGCGAACAGG